Molecule: long non-coding RNA, 1440 nt
Filed under: Calidris pugnax (ruff)
Lineage: Eukaryota; Metazoa; Chordata; Aves; Charadriiformes; Scolopacidae
Description: lncRNA (ENSCPUG00000009300.1)
Source: RNAcentral
CAGACGCUGCGAGAGAUCUUCAAGUUUUGGAGAGAAUAAAAACAACACAAGUGGCCUAACUGGUGGGGUAGGGAAUGAGAAGUAGGAGCUAUCUCGCUGGUAUCUGGGGAAUUUGUAGUAACAGUGCCAUGCCUUACGUUGUGAGCCCUGUGACUAACCCUCUGAAUUUGAAGGUAUCUCUUUGAUGAAGAUGGACUUUGAUUCCCUAGUUCUUUAUUGUCCUCCUGACUCAGAAGCUGCUGCUUUGACAAGUAUAAAAGCAAGUUCCUGUAUCUGCAUCCUCAUGUUUCAUUUGGCUCCCUCUGCCCAUGUCCACCUGCCUGCACCAGUGGGCUCUGGGGCGAGCGUGCCUGGGGAUCCUGAACUACUUCAGGUCUGUGGAGAGAAGCCUGACCAUCAGUACCGCUGGCCUCUCCUUCAAGGCUGGUCACCUAAUUCCCAGUGCAGAAGACACCUUGGUCUGCUGCCAAAGGAAGCACUGGUGCCUUCAAUGCCCUGAGUUCACAGCUGUAUAUUCACUACACACCAGCGGACUACAAGGCAAUGUAACUUGUGAGCAAUUCAGUGGCAGCAAGAUCCUUGGCUGGGCAUAUGCCUCUGUGGAUGGAUGUGCUGUGCUGCUUGACCUCUGGACCUGUGAAACUGCCCUCUUGGGAAAAAAAUGCCAGGCCUUCCGUAUAAGGAAACUUGCUUUCUUUUUGGAAGAAAAACUCCCAGUAGAGAAGAAUGAAACCUCUACAGCAACAAUGCACUAGUUCUCUUCCAAACCCAUCAAAGAGUGUAUUCUUGAACUGCUCUCCCAACCCAAGUCUCUAGGCAGGAUUAAAUGUACAGGUGUGCUCUUGCUGAGGGACUUUUAGCUGAAAUGAAAUGGAAGUGGGUCUCGCUAGCUUUGUUUCCAGCUGGGACUGAACUCUUUCUGAAUGAGAAAACAAUAGCCCUUUGUCCAGCAGCUGAUACAGCUUAGCUUAGUCAAUAUAAAACACGCUUAUUGCCUGUUGCUCAAGCACUAUCUUAGCUUCCUCCAGAACAGUUCAGGUCAGGCAGGUGUAAAUCUGAGAACUUGACUGUUUACACUUAAAUCUGAUUUUUCAGCUACCGAGUUACCUCCUAAGCUCUUCUGCAUCUUCCUCUUCCAUAUUCUUCUGCUUUAAGUAUGGAAAGUAAUGUGAAUGUUUUUCUACUUCCACAUCACUGCAAAAUAGCCAGAUUUAGAUCAUUUCGUAUUGACAUGACCAAUUUGUCCAGAAGCAAGAGCACUGGAUGUUCAUGUUUUCAGUCCCCUGAUUGCCAUCUGAACAAAAAGUACUACAAUGUCAUCUCGAGAGUUCAUGUGCUGUCAUUCUUGGUACAUUUCUUUUUCUGUCCUAAGCUGUGGGUAUGUGUAAUUUAAAUUUUUAUUUAAAUAAAACUUUACAGCUAUUCUUGGUAGAGAAGCCU